Molecule: non-coding RNA, 25 nt
Filed under: Cricetulus griseus (Chinese hamster)
Lineage: Eukaryota; Metazoa; Chordata; Mammalia; Rodentia; Cricetidae
Source: RNAcentral
GUGAGUUCUGAAGCUGUCUCCCCUG